This 322-nucleotide unclassified non-coding RNA is filed under the name Hevea brasiliensis (rubber tree). The record is from RNAcentral. Lineage: Eukaryota; Viridiplantae; Streptophyta; Magnoliopsida; Malpighiales; Euphorbiaceae.
GAUGGGGUGGAGGUUUCCUCCCGGUGUGUCGUGGGCGUAUGAAGAUAUUUCAAGCUUGUCUAGCGAAACUUAAGGGUAGGCGAGAUGUCGCCUCGGCUUUGCAGUUUGAAACUAUAAGAAAGGAGUUAGACUCAGCUAUUGAUCAGUAUGAGCAGUAUUGGAAGCAAUGCGUAAAAAAUUUCGGGUUGCAAGGAGGAGAUUCCAAUACACGAUUUUUUCACUCAGAAGCUUCAAUCAGGAGAAAAGCUAACAAUAUAACCCAGUAGUGUGAUGCACACGGUGUGAUGAGAUGCUGGGAUUUUGGGUUGGAUUAAGUUAAUGC